CAGAAGGAGGAGCCAAGUAUGGACGCAGACGUCCGGGUUUCGUGACACGCGAACCGUUUGUAAAACUUGGUUCGUUGUCGACGAAACCUGCACGAUCUGCAACCACAU
RNAcentral lists this microRNA precursor (108 nucleotides) under Dinoponera quadriceps. RNAcentral's name for it is "microRNA dqu-mir-981 precursor". Its record names the gene dqu-mir-981. The stretch from base 23 to 102 matches the Rfam family "mir-981 microRNA precursor family". The record is from miRBase by way of RNAcentral. Lineage: Eukaryota; Metazoa; Arthropoda; Insecta; Hymenoptera; Formicidae.